GGCGUCGUGGUGGAACGGCAGACACACGUGGCCUAGAACCACGUUCCCGCUAGGAGUGAGAGUUCAAGUCUCUCCGACGCUA
This 82-nucleotide transfer RNA is filed under the name Acidobacteriota bacterium. RNAcentral's name for it is "Acidobacteria bacterium tRNA-Leu". It matches the Rfam family "tRNA". From Rfam's summary of the family: Transfer RNA (tRNA) molecules are approximately 80 nucleotides in length. Lineage: Bacteria; Pseudomonadati; Acidobacteriota. RNAcentral also lists the same sequence under 1 other name. The record is from RNAcentral.